Molecule: ribosomal RNA, 464 nt
Filed under: uncultured bacterium
Lineage: Bacteria
Description: partial 16S ribosomal RNA
Rfam family: Bacterial small subunit ribosomal RNA
Source: RNAcentral
GAUGAACGCUGGCGGCGUGCUUAACACAUGCAAGUCGAACGGAAAGGCUCCUGCUUGCAGGGGUACUCGAGUGGCGAACGGGUGAGUAACACGUGGGUGAUCUGCCCUGCACUUCGGGAUAAGACUGGGAAACUGGGUCUAAUACCGGAUAGGACGAUGGUUUGGAUGCCAUUGUGGAAAGUUUUUCGGUGUGGGAUGAGCUCGCGGCCUAUCAGCUUGUUGGUGGGGUAAUGGCCUACCAAGGCGUCGACGGGUAGCCGGCCUGAGAGGGUGUACGGCCACAUUGGGACUGAGAUACGGCCCAGACUCCUACGGGAGGCAGCAGUGGGGAAUAUUGCACAAUGGGCGCAAGCCUGAUGCAGCGACGCCGCGUGGGGGAUGACGGCCUUCGGGUGGGAAACUCCUUUCGCUAGGGACGAAGCGCAAGGGACGGUACCUGGAGAAGAAGCACCGGCUAACUACGU